CCUACGGGCGGCUGCAGUGAGGAAUAUUGGUCAAUGGCCGGAAGGCUGAACCAGCCAAGCCGCGUGAAGGACGAAGGUGCCAAGCAUUGUAAACUUCUUUUGUCAGGGACGAAGCAAGUGACGGUACCUGACGAAUAAGCCACGGCUAACUACGUGCCAGCAGCCGCGGUAAUACGUAGGUGGCAAGCGUUAUCCGGAUUUACUGGGUGUAAAGGGCGUGUAGGCGGGGAAGCAAGUCAGAUGUGAAAACCACGGGCUCAACCUGUGGCCUGCAUUUGAAACUGUUUUUCUUGAGUGCUGGAGAGGCAAUCGGAAUUCCGUGUGUAGCGGUGAAAUGCGUAGAUAUACGGAGGAACACCAGUGGCGAAGGCGGAUUGCUGGACAGUAACUGACGCUGAGGCGCGAAAGCGUGGGGAGCAAACAGGAUUAGAUACCCCAGUAGUC
Molecule: ribosomal RNA, 444 nt
Filed under: uncultured bacterium
Lineage: Bacteria
Description: partial 16S ribosomal RNA
Rfam family: Bacterial small subunit ribosomal RNA
Source: RNAcentral